Molecule: long non-coding RNA, 1394 nt
Organism: Cavia porcellus (domestic guinea pig)
Lineage: Eukaryota; Metazoa; Chordata; Mammalia; Rodentia; Caviidae
Exons: 2
Source: RefSeq, a predicted model, not a curated record
AGCGCUGCAAAAAGCCUGCGGCGCUCUGAGACGCCUGGUCCUGGGGACCUCUUUCCACUCUUUACUCUCAGGAUAGGAGGAUGGGGUCGGGGAAUUCUUUUUGGUUUUCUAGUUUUGUUUUGCUCUCAUUUGAUCGAUUUUAUGUUUUCCUUUUUUUCCUCUUUUUUUUUUUUUUUCUUUUUCUUUUUUGCCUUUUCUUUCCGGUCAUUCUCCCAGCCAAAAGCCGCCUUCGACCCUUUUGAUUUGAUGUAGCAAAGAGUGUGUGUCCAGAUUAUCUGAAAUUGACACUGAAGAAGGUCCAAUCCAAAUCCCGGGCCGGGCCGGACGCUGGAAACCCGCGCCAGCCGCGGUCAGAAGGCCCACGAACUCCCCGAAGUCUUGGAGAUGUCCAAGAAGGAGAAUCUCGUUUCUUCGCUAGGGUCUGGGACUUUGGGAGGUGAGCAGGCCGAGGGAAGGAUUCCCUGCGCCACUCGGUGAGAGGAAGAGGAAGACACAGGCACUCCCCUGGGCCCCCGGUGAGGAGCCACACACUUUACAGGCAAAGGAGGGGUUAAGUCCCGCGUCUAUUGUUCCAGUUGUUCGGCCACGCGUGACCUCUGAAUCCCCAAACAAGAUGUCCGGGGAAAUCCUUCCUGCACCCUAACCAGAUGUCCAGGGACAGGACAGAGGAGCAGGCAGCAAACAAGUUGGGGUGCAGAGGGCAGCGACCGAGCUAGGGCAGUGAAAAUGUGAGAGGAAGGGGAGACACCAGGAGCCUGGGUGGAUACACCCACACAGUGACACCCCGACCAUGAGGCCCACAGAGCCAGAAGUGGAGCCCAGGGCUCAGACCCAGCCUCGAGAAGCCUGCUUGGCGCAGAGGCAGCGGCGAGGUACCUGAGUCUGCGUGAGUCCCAAGGAGGCCGCGAGCUCCGCCCUCUCAGGCAGAGCCAAGUACUGAGUUUGCUGGAACCUCCGGUUCAAAGCCUGCAACUGCAAACUGGAAUAAAUUGUCCUGGGUUUGCGGAUCUUCUUCCCUUUGCCAUUGAAGCGCACUUCACCGCCCUCCACCACGGUGCUCUUCUCGGAGUCCGCCCCUGCAGCGACAGCAGAAGUGGGGUCGUUAACACAGGGGCUGCCUUUAGUGUGGAGAGACGAGAACGGGCGGCAGUCGAGGGGAUGGCAGAGACCGGCCGGGAACAGCGCGUUCCAGAAACUCUGGAAGCCUGGGAGGGACUUCCAAAGUCUGAGGGCCAGUCCCGGGCUGCUGCAGACAGGAUGGGGCCGUCAUGGGAGAGCAGCAAUUGCCUUUGCAGGGAAAGUUUGCUAUUUUUGCAGGCGGUAGUUGAGGUUUAAUUACCCUUAAUUGCAUACAUUGUUUAUAGCGCCACGCAAUAAAUAAUUACCGAGACUAA